RNAcentral lists this ribosomal RNA (255 nucleotides) under uncultured bacterium. Its description in RNAcentral is "partial 16S ribosomal RNA". It matches the Rfam family "Bacterial small subunit ribosomal RNA", at positions 524 to 776 of the family's 1533-position model. The record is from RNAcentral.
UACGUAGGGGGCAAGCGUUGUCCGGAAUCAUUGGGCGUAAAGAGCUCGUAGGCGGUGUGUCGCGUCGGCCGUGAAAACCUGCAGCUUAACUGUGGGCUUGCGGUCGAUACGGGCAUCACUGGAGUUCGGCAGGGGAGACUGGAAUUCCUGGUGUAGCGGUGAAAUGCGCAGAUAUCAGGAGGAACACCGGUGGCGAAGGCGGGUCUCUGGGCCGAUGACUGACGCUGAGGAGCGAAAGCGUGGGGAGCGAACAGG